CAGCACAUGAGGAACACCCAGUGUGUAUGUUGAACAAUUGAGUUAUCUCCUCUUAAUAGGCACCUAUGAAGAUUUUUGUGUAUAUGUGAAUACAAUUGAGGUGGAAAAUGAUACAAGCUCUUACAGAUGAGGAAGCCUGGAGAUACUAAGAAAAAUUGAAGGCUCUGAUGGUAAUUGAUCUGUAAACUUAAGCAAAUUUGUUUUGCCCAGUGUUG
Molecule: non-coding RNA, 215 nt
Organism: Pelobates cultripes (western spadefoot toad)
Lineage: Eukaryota; Metazoa; Chordata; Amphibia; Anura; Pelobatidae
Source: the annotation of a GenBank genome assembly